UGGGGAAUUUUGCACAAUGGGGGAAACCCUGAUGCAGCGACGCCGCGUGUACGAUGAAGAUCUUCGGAUUGUAAAGUACUGUCCUUGGUGAAGAUAAUGACUGUAACCAAGAAGCAAGCCCUGGCUAAAUACGUGCCAGCAGCCGCGGUAAUACGUAUGGGGCAAGCGUUGUCCGGAAUUAUUGGGCGUAAAGGGUACGUAGGCGGUUAUUUAAGUCUAAAUUAAAAGGCAUUGGCUCAACCAAUGUAAGGUUUAGAUACUGGAUAACUUGAGUAGAUGAGGGGAAAGUGGAAUUCCUAGUGUAGCGGUGAAAUGCGUAGAUAUUAGGAAGAAUACCGGUGGCGAAGGCGACUUGCUGGACACAAACUGACGCUGAGGAACGAAAGCGUGGGUAGCAAACAGG
RNAcentral lists this ribosomal RNA (403 nucleotides) under Fusobacteriota bacterium. Its description in RNAcentral is "Fusobacteria bacterium partial 16S ribosomal RNA". It matches the Rfam family "Bacterial small subunit ribosomal RNA", at positions 355 to 776 of the family's 1533-position model. The record is from RNAcentral. Lineage: Bacteria; Fusobacteriati; Fusobacteriota.